This 495-nucleotide ribosomal RNA is filed under the name uncultured bacterium. RNAcentral's name for it is "partial 16S ribosomal RNA". It matches the Rfam family "Bacterial small subunit ribosomal RNA", at positions 28 to 507 of the family's 1533-position model. The record is from RNAcentral.
GACGAACGCUGGCGGCGUGCCUAAUACAUGCAAGUAGAACGCUGAAGGAGGAGCUUGCUCUUCUGGAUGAGUUGCGAACGGGUGAGUAACGCGUAGGUAACCUGCCUGGUAGCGGGGGAUAACUAUUGGAAACGAUAGCUAAUACCGCAUAAGAGUAGAUGUUGCAUGACAUUUACUUAAAAGGUGCAAUUGCAUCACUACCAGAUGGACCUGCGUUGUAUUAGCUAGUUGGUGGGGUAACGGCUUACCAAGGCGACGAUACAUAGCCGACCUGAGAGGGUGAUCGGCCACACUGGGACUGAGACACGGCCCAGACUCCUACGGGAGGCAGCAGUAGGGAAUCUUCGGCAAUAGACGGAAGUCUGACCGAGCAACGCCGCGUGAGUGAAGAAGGUUUUCGGAUCGUAAAGCUCUGUUGUAAGAGAAGAACGAGUGUGAGAGUGGAAAGUUCACACUGUGACGGUAUCUGACCAGAAAGGGACGGCUAACUACGUG